RNAcentral lists this ribosomal RNA (274 nucleotides) under uncultured bacterium. RNAcentral describes it as "partial 16S ribosomal RNA". It matches the Rfam family "Bacterial small subunit ribosomal RNA", at positions 523 to 796 of the family's 1533-position model. The record is from RNAcentral.
AUACGGAGGCUGCGAGCGUUACUCGGAGUCACUGGGCGUAAGGCGUCCGUAGGCGGUCGGGUAAGUCGGGUGUGAAAGCCCCGGGCUCAACCUGGGAAGUGCACCCGAUACUGCUCGACUCGAGUGCGGGAGAGGAUGGCGGAAUUCCCGGUGUAGCGGUGAAAUGCGUAGAGAUCGGGAGGAACACCAGUGGCGAAGGCGGCCAUCUGGCCCGCAACUGACGCUGAGGGACGAAAGCGUGGGGAGCAAACAGGAUUAGAUACCCCAGUAGUCC